Molecule: ribosomal RNA, 253 nt
Filed under: uncultured bacterium
Lineage: Bacteria
Description: partial 16S ribosomal RNA
Rfam family: Bacterial small subunit ribosomal RNA
Source: RNAcentral
UACGAAGGGUGCAAGCGUUACUCGGAAUUACUGGGCGUAAAGCGUGCGCAGGCGGUUUUGUAAGUCAGAUGUGAAAUCCCCGGGCUUAACCUGGGAACUGCGUUUGAAACUACAAGGCUAGAGUGUGACAGAGGGGGGUGGAAUUCCACGUGUAGCAGUGAAAUGCGUAGAGAUGUGGAGGAACACCGAUGGCGAAGGCAGCCCCCUGGGUUAACACUGACGCUCAGGCACGAAAGCGUGGGGAGCAAACAGG